UGGGUCUUUCCUGUGUUGUCCUCAUAAGUGAAUGGGUCUCGUGAGGUCUGAUGGUUUUAAAAACGGGAGCUUCUCUGAACAAGCUCUCUCUUUGCUUGCUGCCAUCCAUGUAAGAUGUGACUUGCUCCUCCUCACCUUCUGCCAUGACUGUGAGGUCUCCCUAGCCACGUGGAACUGACAAUGCCAACUCCUGAAGAUCUUGCUCUAAGUGGUCAAAGGGUGAGCAUACUGCAGGCAACAAAAGAUCGAGCAUACUACAGGCAACCAAGGGUCAAGACAAAUUUACAGGAUCCCUCCCUACCGUGGCCACUACCCAGCUUCCCAGUAGUGCCUUCCUAAUUUGCUGCCCAUGGUAAUGGAGACAAAUACCUGCAGAAGAACAUAAUCAAAACUCAAAGGAAAGUUGAGCAAGCACUGGAACAUUCACAAAGGCAGACAGCAGACGUGCUCAUCAAAAGCAUUUUUGCUGCAUAUUGGGUUAUCAGGAUGGACAUGCAUGGACUAAUCAAUGUGCUUCAAUGAGAGCUGUAGAAAAAUGGAAUGAGCAACAAAUGGAGUCAUCAUACAGCCAGCAUCAUAUAGAAGAAUGACAAAGAGAGAAAAAAUAAAACUUUCUGGGAAAGAAGGAAUAAGAAGCUGGAUUGGCAGAAAGAUCAAUGUGGUUUUCCCUAGAGCUUCCUGGGCAGAGCACAGAAAAGGCUGGUUGCCUAUGGAGAACUACAAAUUGAAGAGUUUCUUAAUCAGUCCACUGUUCACUUGAUUCCCAGACACAGACAACAUGAGUUUAAUUAUCCGGAGACAUUUCAAAGGAUGUUGAUGUUUCAUGAUGGGAAAACGGCUACUUCUACAAAGAAUUGAUCUUUCUGAAUAGAAAGAAGGUCAUUCCUGUGAGCACUGUAUAUUUUGCCAACAGAAUUAGACUGGUCAGUUAAGAAGUAUGCCUUAAUUAUUAAGAGCAUAGGAUCAGGCAGUCUGAGCUCUGAGUUCAAAAUCCUAACCUUACCCUUACCAACCAAGUGCCUAUUGGGUACAGAAUCAUAACACUUCGGUAAAAUGAUUCCCGUGAACACAAAAUAUACGGUACUCUCAUGAGCACCAUAUAUUUUUCCAACAGAAUUAGACUGGUCAGUUAGGAAUUAGACUGUUUUAAUUGUUAAGAGUACAGGAUCAGGAAGUCUGAGUUCUGAGUUCAAAAUCCUAACCUUGCUUUUACCAACCAAGUGCCCAUUGAGUACAGAAUCAUAACAAUUGGAUGAAAUGAUUAGCAUGACAGUGCCUAGAUGAUAUGGUGUUGUAUAUAUUCAAUAUGAUGUAAUUUUCCAAUAUCCAUUGAAUGUGUACCAUGUGGAUACAAGGAGAACAAGAAGAUGAAGUCUUUCUCAUUGGGAAGCUCACAUCUUAGUGACCCUCCAGAAUUAAUAUAUCUAAAGACUAAGGACAGUACCAAACACAAAGUAAUUGCUAUCUAUGCUGUUAUUCAUGCAAAUGAUUAAAUCAGUGCACCCCCUCCCAAUCAUGGAUUGCUCUAAUAUUACAUAUCACUCUUAUAUUAUACCUUCCUCCAGACAGUAAAUGGAAAUCUGCACUCCUAGAGUUUUGUGUUGUUAUUCUUAAUGAUGAUAUGGCAAGAGACUGCAAACAUCCUGAUUUGCAAGGCUAGGGAGCUUGGAAAUGCCAGGAAAUAUGGGAAAAAUCAAACCCCAUUCUUUCAACUCACUGGCGAUUUUUUCCUGGCUACACUGUCUUCAUUUAAUCUACAUUUCCCUACCAGCAGGUGCUCACCAACUACCAUUGGUGAAGGCACCAGUGAGUUUCUGGUAAGGAUCUGAGUUGUUCCUGACCACAGAUUGGAGGAACCAUGUGGGAAAAGGUGUAGCAUUGCAUUCUCUUGGAACACAGACUUUCGUCAUUUGGCAAAGAGAUUCAUCUUGCAUUUUUUAGUAUGAUGGCAAGCAAUACAUGAUGGCAAGCAAUACUUAACUUCAUAACCUUGAUUCAUAUCCUUCCCCCUAAUGCUCCUAACAGGACAACUGAAAUUUAUAUUGCCUGAUUGAAAAGAGGCUUUAUUUGACCCAGACACAAAGUUAGCUUUCCAAUACUUCCCUAGCUUCCAAGCCAUAAAAAAUUAAAUGCCUGGAAUGUGUACCUUACAAGAUAAAAUAAAUGAGAUAACUUUUUACUGGUAAACAAUCAAUAGCCUAUUAAAAUAAAACUAGCAUACAAUUCUCUGAUUUUUGUAGAGGGACAUUUUAUUUUGGUCCUGUAAGUUUCCCUAGUAGAGCUGGAAUAAUUGUAGAAUAGAUUUUGGAAGUAGUAUGUUCAGGCAUAAAAUAAUGCAAUAUGCAAUAACUCAAGUUGAUAAACAGGUUAAUUGCAAUGAUGCUUGGCACGUAGAUCUUUUUCUGCUAAGACUUUGAAAGUUAGAAAAACUCAUAAUAUUUAUGUUUGUCAUUUGAAGAAUUUAAGGGGUUAUUAAUAUUCAGAAACAUGUACUAAUUUCCUUUGAAGGGAGAUAACUUACUGGCUGUAAAAUAAAUAUUGGCCUUGGAACUGGACAAACUGAGCUUAAAUCCUGGCUCCUUCACUUAUUUGCUAUGUGACUUUAGAUAAAUGAUUUAAUCUUGAUUUUUUAAAUCUGAAAAAUAGGGUUAAUGAUACCUGAUGCUUUAGUAGUACAAUGAGGUAUUCCACAAAGAUAGUGGAAAACAGGGAAAUUAGGUUGCAUGUAACUACUAUCUUAGGAGCUUUAACAAAAUAAUAAAAUACCUGGGUUCUCAACCCCAGAAUUCUGAUAUAAUUAGACUUGAAUGAGGUUGAGGCACAGUAUUUUUGUCAAAAUCCAGACAGACAUGGUCCCUAUCUCUCAUGAAUUGCACAAUACAGUAGAAGUUACUGACGUUAUAGGUGAAGAACUAAAUUGAAUAUGAGUUUUAGAGCCAGGAAGAUCUGUGAUAUUUUGCUAGCUGUGUGGCCUUGGGCAAUAACUUAAUUUUCCUGAGUCUCAGUUUCCCCAUGUAUAAACACUAACGUUAAUGCAUUUGUAUCUCUUAGUAUAGUGAUUUAGGACUGCCACAUAGUAGGUGCGUCCUAAAUAUCAUUAUUCAUUAUAAUUUCACAAGUAUUAUUGGUAAUAUUUUACCUCAAAAAGAUACUAUGACUGAUCGUUUAGGUCUACAAGUAUCUAAUUGCUCAGUUGUAAUAUUUCACUUUAAAGUGAAUAAGGUCUCCAAAAGGUUAAAAAAAAAAUCACAGUUCUAUCUUAUUAGUGUUGAAAUGGGGGCAGUUACAGCCUCUUUUCCAUGCCACUUCACUAGUACUAGUACUGUCAAUACAUUUCUUCAUAAAAUAUAUCCAUCAGACAUGGAAUAUUAGGUAUUCAGAGUUGAUCUGUACUUUCAUAUACAUAUUGAUUUAAACAACAUAAUUUUGUGAUUUUGUUUUCAAUUUCCAUCUUGCAUGUUUUAGAAUUUCAUCUUCUAUCUUGGUAUAUGGAACAAUGUGUCAAUAAACAUCAGUGAGCAUAAAGGAAGGAUGACUCAACAAAUUCUUGCAUCCAGUUCAAUUUCAAUUCAGG
RNAcentral lists this long non-coding RNA (3574 nucleotides) under Homo sapiens (human). RNAcentral's name for it is "HSALNT0214073". Lineage: Eukaryota; Metazoa; Chordata; Mammalia; Primates; Hominidae. The record is from RNAcentral.